GCUGGGUGUGGUGAUGCAUACCUGUAAUCCCAGCAGCUCAGGAGCCUGAGGCAGGAGGAUUGUAAGUUCAAAACCAACCUCAGCAACUUAGUGAGGUUCUAAGGAACCUAGAGAAAUCCUGUCUCUA
RNAcentral lists this small RNA (127 nucleotides) under Marmota monax (woodchuck). The record is from RNAcentral. Lineage: Eukaryota; Metazoa; Chordata; Mammalia; Rodentia; Sciuridae.